AUUGAACGCUGGCGGAAUGCUUUACACAUGCAAGUCGGGCGGCAGCGCGGGGGCAACCCUGGCGGCGAGCGGCGAACGGGUGAGUAAUACAUCGGAACGUGUCCUUAAGUGGGGAUAGCUCGGCGAAAGCCGGAUUAAUACCGCAUAAGCUCUGAGGAGGAAAGCGGGGGACUGGUAACGGCCUCGCGCUGUUGGAGCGGCCGAUGUCGGAUUAGCUAGUUGGUGGGGUAAAAGGCCCACCAAGGCGACGAUCCGUAGCUGGUCUGAGAGGAUGAUCAGCCACACUGGAACUGAGACACGGUCCAGACUCCUACGGGAGGCAGCAGUGGGGAAUUUUGGAACAAGUGGGGCAACCCUGAUCCAGCCAUUCCGCGUGAGUGAAGAA
RNAcentral lists this ribosomal RNA (385 nucleotides) under uncultured bacterium. Its description in RNAcentral is "bacterial SSU rRNA". It matches the Rfam family "Bacterial small subunit ribosomal RNA", at positions 29 to 412 of the family's 1533-position model. The record is from RNAcentral.